UUUUAUUUGAGAGUUUGAUCCUGGCUCAGGAUGAACGCUGGCGGCGUGCCUAACACAUGCAAGUUGAGCGAUUUACUUCGGUAAAGAGCGGCGGACGGGUGAGUAACGCGUGGGUAACCUACCCUGUACACACGGAUAACAUACCGAAAGGUAUGCUAAUACGGGAUAAUAUAUUUGAGAGGCAUCUCUUGAAUAUCAAAGGUGAGCCAGUACAGGAUGGACCCGCGUCUGAUUAGCUAGUUGGUAAGGUAACGGCUUACCAAGGCGACGAUCAGUAGCCGACCUGAGAGGGUGAUCGGCCACAUUGGAACUGAGACACGGUCCAAACUCCUACGGGAGGCAGCAGUGGGGAAUAUUGCACAAUGGGCGAAAGCCUGAUGCAGCAACGC
This 389-nucleotide ribosomal RNA is filed under the name Clostridioides difficile. RNAcentral describes it as "bacterial SSU rRNA". It matches the Rfam family "Bacterial small subunit ribosomal RNA", at positions 1 to 397 of the family's 1533-position model. Lineage: Bacteria; Bacillati; Bacillota; Clostridia; Peptostreptococcales; Peptostreptococcaceae. The record is from RNAcentral.